This 116-nucleotide small nucleolar RNA is filed under the name Bombyx mori (domestic silkworm). RNAcentral describes it as "Bm_127". Lineage: Eukaryota; Metazoa; Arthropoda; Insecta; Lepidoptera; Bombycidae. The record is from RNAcentral.
UUAUCUAGCAGCUUGUUGCAAUCGACAAGUGUAUAUGAUGAUGCCACAGUGAGUCGAGUAUCAGCGCGAACCGAAGCGUUUUUGCGCAUAAGGAUGAUCGUUAUUCGUACAUCUUU